GGCGAAUAUAACUUAAUUGGUUAAAGUACCAGACUGUGACAACGCGAUCGGUUUUUUGAGCUUUGGCUUAUACC
RNAcentral lists this transfer RNA (74 nucleotides) under Jaagichlorella roystonensis. RNAcentral describes it as "tRNA-His". The record is from RNAcentral. Lineage: Eukaryota; Viridiplantae; Chlorophyta; Trebouxiophyceae; Watanabeales; Watanabeaceae.